GACGAACGCUGGCGGCGUGCCUAACACAUGCAAGUCGAACGUAGUGUUUAUUUAUAAACACUUAGUGGCGAACGGGUGAGUAACGCGUAGCCAACCUACCCUCCAGCUGGGGACAACAUCGCGCAAGUGGCCCUAAUACCGAAUGUUGUACUGUUUUUGCAUCUUUAUAUUACUAAAGGUGGCCUCUAUAUAAUAGUUACCGCCAGAAGAUGGGUAUGGGUCUGAUCAGCUAUGUGGUGGGAUAACAGCUCACCAAGGAGAUGAUCAGUAGCCCGUCUAAGAGGAUGAACGAGCACACUGGGACUGAGACACGGGCCAGACUCCUACGGGAGGAAGCAGUGGGGAAGCUUCCGCAAUGGACGAAAGUAUGACGGAGCAACAGCGCGUGAGUGAAGAAGGUUUUCGGAUCGUAAAGCUCUGUCUUCAAGGACGAAUGUAGAUAUUGAGAAUAAUGAUAUUUAAUGACGGUACUUGAGGAGGAAGCCACGGCUAACUACGUGCCAGCCGCCGCGGUAA
RNAcentral lists this ribosomal RNA (516 nucleotides) under uncultured bacterium. Its description in RNAcentral is "partial 16S ribosomal RNA". It matches the Rfam family "Bacterial small subunit ribosomal RNA", at positions 28 to 523 of the family's 1533-position model. The record is from RNAcentral.